RNAcentral lists this long non-coding RNA (1145 nucleotides) under Monodelphis domestica (gray short-tailed opossum). RNAcentral's name for it is "lncRNA (ENSMODG00000030688.2)". The record is from RNAcentral. Lineage: Eukaryota; Metazoa; Chordata; Mammalia; Didelphimorphia; Didelphidae.
GGAGUUGGGAAGGUGACAUGCAUACAAUCAACUAUAAUAAAAAUAGAAUGUAAUAAGUGCUGAAGUCCAUCGAUCCCUCCCUAUUCUCUCAAUCCAUCAUUCCUGAUCUGACCAGCUAUUUCAAUGAUAUUUUUCUCCAGCCUGAAGUUCUCAACUCUCUGGACUUUCAUCUAUCACCAGAUUCAAAUUUAUCUCUUAAUAUGCACAAGGUCCUGGAGACAAAAAGAAAUAACAGCCUUUUCACGAAGGAACCUGCAUUCUAAUGAAGGAUAUUACAUGUCACCAGUGAUAAGAUGUGAUGUGCUGGAAAGAAUGCUGAAUUUGGAAGAAGUCCUGUGUUCAAAUCUCAAGCUCUGCUAUAUAUUACUUGUGUUACUUUGGAAUGAAGACUGUGCAUUGGUUCCAGGGCAGAAGAAUAAUAAGAGUUCUUUCUCUGGAUGUGGAUCCUGUUCUUUCUCAUUAGUCCCUCAGAAUUGUCCUGGAUCAUUGCAUUGCUGUUAGUAGAAAAAUCUAUUACAUUCAAAUGUGCUACCAUAUAUCCAUCUCUGCAUACAAUGUUCUCCAGGUUCUGCUCCUUUCAAUCUGCAUCAAUUCCUGGAGGUCAGUCCAGUUCACAGGGAAUUCCUCCAGUUCAUUAUUCCUCUCAGGACAAUAGUAUUCCAUCACCAUCAGAUACUACAAUUUGUUCAGCCAUUCCCCAAUUGAUGGACCUAUCCUCAUUUUCCAAUUUUCUGCUACCACAAAGAGUGUGGCUAUAAAUAUUUUUGAACAAUUCUUUUUCCUUAUUAUCUUAUUGGGAUACAAACCCAGUAAUGAUAUGACUGGAUCAAAGGGCAAGCAUUCUUUUAAAGGAGCUUAUUUUCUAAUGGAGGAUGGACAAUAUGAAAGGGACCUGAAAGAAAAGGGGGAUGCUAGAGAUACUCAUGAGGAGUCAUAGUAGAGAAAUUCAGGAGAGUCAAAGAAGAGGGGCAGCUAAGUGGCACAGUGGAUAGAGUGCCUGGCCUGGAGUUUGGAAGACAUUGGUUCAAGUAUAACCUCAGACACUUCAUAGCUGUGUGACCCUGGACAAGUCACUUAACCCCAAUUGCUUAAGGAGAGUCAAAGAAGGACCCUAGAAAGGAAUAAAGAUGUGGCUGUCCUGGACA